CCUACGGGAGGCUGCCGUGGGGAAUAUUGGACAAUGGGGGCAACCCUGAUCCAGCCAUGCCGCGUGUGUGAAGAAGGCCCUCGGGUUGUAAAGCACUUUCAGUGAGGAAGAACGCCUGGUGGUUAAUACCCAUCAGGAAAGACAUCACUCACAGAAGAAGCACCGGCUAACUCCGUGCCAGCAGCCGCGGUAAUACGGAGGGUGCGAGCGUUAAUCGGAAUUACUGGGCGUAAAGCGCGCGUAGGUGGCUUGAUAAGCCGGUUGUGAAAGCCCCGGGCUCAACCUGGGAACGGCAUCCGGAACUGUCAAGCUAGAGUGCAGGAGAGGAAGGUAGAAUUCCCGGUGUAGCGGUGAAAUGCGUAGAGAUCGGGAGGAAUACCAGUGGCGAAGGCGGCCUUCUGGACUGACACUGACACUGAGGUGCGAAAGCGUGGGUAGCAAACAGGAUUAGAUACCCGGGUAGUU
Molecule: ribosomal RNA, 465 nt
Filed under: Vreelandella stevensii
Lineage: Bacteria; Pseudomonadati; Pseudomonadota; Gammaproteobacteria; Oceanospirillales; Halomonadaceae
Description: partial 16S ribosomal RNA
Rfam family: Bacterial small subunit ribosomal RNA
Source: RNAcentral